AUGAGGCGGGGGUGUCCCCGCCGUCCCCGUGCCCCCUGUGGUGCCCACCCCCCCGGGCAGGGCAGCGCCCAGGCUCCUUCCUCCUCCUCCUCCUCCUCAUCGGCCUCAUCCUGCGUGCGGCCUCGGCACCGCGUGGUGCUUGCAAUAAAUGAGCGGGGUUUGCUUUGGGAUGUGUGCUUCUGUCGGCGAAGUAAAGCUGUCCCCUGCCUCCGAGUGCUGCUCGCGUCCUUUCCUGCGCCCGGGGUGUCCCCGAGGGGUCCGGCGUGGGGGGAUGCGCCCCCUGUGAAGGUGUCACCAGGGCGAGGACAGGUCCAGCCCCAGCCGAGGGGCGCAGGAGGGCUCCCCAGGGCUCUGUAUGGCCGGUGUCCCCCUGCCCCGUGCCCUCCUGCUCUGCGCAGAGGGAGGAGGAGACGGCAGGGGUGGCCCUCGGCGUCUCCAGCCCUUUGGCACAGCACCCAGCACCCUGCAGGGUCUGAGCCACCCCAGUCCACAAAAAGUCCCCAUCCCUCUCCCUUCCUCAUGCAGACAGGGACAGAGGGACCACAGGUCACAUCCCCGGGGCCAGCAGGGCACCCAUGGGUGCCACCCCCAGCUUGCCCCCUGCUGCCCUGCGCCCUCCGUGCGCCCCACGUCCCCCAGCAGCGACAGGCUUCAACCCAGAGCAGCCAGGGGCACCCUCAGGGUGCACCCCCCUCUGCUGUGCUGGGGACCCGGGGAUCAGAAGGGACAAAAAAGGGGUUGGGGGGACCCGUGUCAGCCCCCCGGGGAGGCUGUACCUGCCCCACGUGUCACCGUCCCCGCUCCGUCCCUGCCCCGUGUCACCCUGGCUGGGAAGGGUGCACGCAGCCGGGCAGGGGCUCUGCGCCCCCCCUGCACACGGCAGGAGCCCCCCGGGGGGUCCCCAUCCUGCUCAGCACCCCAGGGCAGGAGGCAGGGUGCGAGAUGUGGGGCAGACCCACGGCCACAGCUGCUCAGGUUCCCAGGGGACCGUGGUGGGGACCCAGGGUGGCCAAGAGGUCACCGAUGCAAAGCCCCAGCACCCUCGGGACCAAGGCUGCGGAGCACCCGGCCCCGAUCCGUGCUCCGUGGCCCCCUGCCACGGUGACCCCGCUCCUGCCCCGGCGCUGCGGCUCGCGGGGACCCUUUGAUGUCCCCUCUGUGCUU
This 1164-nucleotide long non-coding RNA is filed under the name Anser cygnoides (Swan goose). RNAcentral's name for it is "lncRNA (ENSACDG00005009192.1)". The record is from RNAcentral. Lineage: Eukaryota; Metazoa; Chordata; Aves; Anseriformes; Anatidae.